RNAcentral lists this ribosomal RNA (317 nucleotides) under uncultured eukaryote. RNAcentral's name for it is "partial 18S ribosomal RNA". It matches the Rfam family "Eukaryotic small subunit ribosomal RNA", at positions 1470 to 1796 of the family's 1831-position model. The record is from RNAcentral.
CCCUUAGAUGUUCUGGGCAGCACGCGCUACAAUGGUCUUCGCAAACGGAUGCAUUCUCGAAGGAGAAUGCCAAUCUUGGAAUCUAUGCCUUGGUCGGGACAGUUGCUUGCAAUUUUUCGACUCGAACCAGGAAUUCCUUGUAAUCGUGAUUCAUCACAUCACGAUGAAUACGUCCCUGCCCUUUGUACACACCGCCCGUCGCUCCUACCGAUCGAAGAGUUAGGUGAAUUGUUUUGAUCGAUAAGAUUUGACUAUGGUCAACUCUCGUUGUGAAAUUCUGUGAAUCUGACUGUUUAGAGGAAGGAAAAGUCGUAACA